RNAcentral lists this ribosomal RNA (1158 nucleotides) under Triticum aestivum (bread wheat). Its description in RNAcentral is "partial small subunit ribosomal RNA". Lineage: Eukaryota; Viridiplantae; Streptophyta; Magnoliopsida; Poales; Poaceae. The record is from RNAcentral.
AUGGCUGCAAGCAUUCUGUCCCACGUUGUCUCCGACCUCUGCAUCGGCAAGCCGGCGGUGCGUGUGCUGCCGCCGUCGACUCCAAUCGCGGCGGCCCUCGCCACGCUCCGCGCUGGUGCCGACCCGUUCGUCUUCGUGGACGCUGCACCCCCGGACGCGAAGAAGACGGCCGUGUUGUCCGUCGUCAAGGUCAGCGUCGCGGAGAUCCUGUGUUACGUCUGCGGCGACGGUGGCAACCUCAGCGACCCCGCGGCCGCGCUCGGCCGGCCCGUUUCCGUGCUCACGGCCGUGGUGGGCGAUCACGGCGUCACUCGCCAAGUGGAUCCACAGACGAGCCUGCUCGACGCCAUCGACGCGCUGCUGGCCAACAACUCGCACAGCCUGGUCGUCCCGCUCCACGCCCGGGCCCGAAAGAAGCACCACCACGUCUCCGCCGGCUACUGCGUGCUGACGCAGCAAGACAUCGUCCGGCACCUCUUCGGCUCCAUCUCCCUCUUCUCCCCGGUCGCCGCGCUCUCCGUGUCCUCCCUCGGCCUCGUGCGCCGGGACGACGUGCACGCCGUCCACGUCGACGACGACGCGCUCGACGCCAUCCCUCUCCUGCGGAGGUCCAUCGGGCAAGGCACCGCCGUGGCCGUCGUGGCGGACGACGACGCGCUCGUCGGAGAGAUCUGCCCGGGCGUGCUCGGCUCGUGCGACGACGUCGAGUCCGUGUCCGCGGCCUUCGCCACGCUCUCCGCCGGCGACGCCAUGACGUACAUCGACUGCUACUUCUCGCCGCCCGAGUUCCUGCUCCGCUCCAUCAGAGCCGAGCUCACGGGCAAAGGGCUUCAUGCCAUGUGCGACCUCAUGGAUGCCGCCUACACAACGGACGUUGGAGCUCUGUCGUCGUCAUCAACGUCAUCUGAUGAGGAGUGUUUGCCAUUGGCGCCUGCGAGACGCGCGAGGAAGAUGUCGUCGGGAAGCUUCCGGUGGCGGUCGACGGAGGACGUGGCGGCGUGUCAUGCUGAGAGUUCGCUGGUCGCCGUCAUGGCCCAAGCGCUUGCGCACCGAGUCGGGCAUGUUUGGGUCGUCGAUGAGCUCAGCGGCGCUCUAGUCGGAGUCGUCAGCUGCGCCGAUGUGCUUGCUGUGCUCCGGGACCAUCUCCGCCCAGAGUGA